GUUUGAUCCUGGCUCAGGAUGAACGCUAGCGGCAGGCCUAAUACAUGCAAGUCGAACGGUGUCUUCGGACAUAGUGGCGCACGGGUGCGUAACACGUAUGCAACCUACCUUACAUUGGGGGAUAGCCUUUCGAAAGGGAGAUUAAUACCGCAUAAGACAGUAGCUGGGCAUCCAGCAGCUGUUAAAGAUUUAUCGAUGUAAGAUGGGCAUGCGACCAAUUAGUUAGUUGGCGAGGUAACGGCUCACCAAGACUAUGAUUGGUAGGGGAACUGAGAGGUCAAUCCCCCACACUGGCACUGAGAUACGGGCCAGACUCCUACGGGAGGCAGCAGUAGGGAAUAUUGGGCAAUGGACGCAAGUCUGACCCAGCCAUGCCGCGUGCAGGAUGAAGGCGUUAUGCGUCGUAAACUGCUUUUAUACAGGAAGAAACGACUCUUGCGAGAGGCAUUGACGGUACUGUAUGAAUAAGCACCGGCUAACUCCGUGCCAGCAGCCGCGGUAAUACGGAGGGUGCAAGCGUUGUCCGGAUUUAUUGGGUUUAAAGGGUGCGCAGGUGGUUUAUUAAGUCAGUGGUGAAGGACGGUCGCUCAACGAUUGCAGUGCCAUUGAAACUAGUAGACUUGAGUAAAGUAGAGGUGGGCGGAAUUGAUAGUGUAGCGGUGAAAUGCAUAGAUAUUAUCAAGAACUCCAAUUGCGUAGGCAGCUCACUUGGCUUUUACUGACACUCAUGCACGAAGUGUGGGUAUCAACAGGAUUAGAUACCCUGGUAGUCACACUGUAAACGAUGAUACUAGUGUCGGCCGAAUCUGGUCGGUGCCACAGCGAAAGCGUUAAGUUAUCCACCUGGGGAGUACGCCGCACGGUGAAACUCAAGGAAUUGACGGGGUCCGCACAGCGUGGAGCAUGUUGUUUA
Molecule: ribosomal RNA, 913 nt
Filed under: uncultured bacterium
Lineage: Bacteria
Description: bacterial SSU rRNA
Rfam family: Bacterial small subunit ribosomal RNA
Source: RNAcentral